UGGGAUUUAAUGCUUCUGCUGCAUGUGUGUAUUUUUCAGAAGGGUAUUUAUGAAACUGCUAACACUGGUUUCCUCUGGGAAAGAGAGUUAUUUUUCAUUUUAAAUUCUUGCUCUUUCUGAAUUGGG
This is a long non-coding RNA of Leopardus geoffroyi (Geoffroy's cat), 126 nucleotides long. RefSeq lists it as uncharacterized. The record is from RefSeq and is a predicted model, not a curated record. NCBI's taxonomy places the organism in Eukaryota, Metazoa, Chordata, Mammalia, Carnivora, Felidae. The transcript is spliced from 3 exons.